GAAUUUUAAUUUCAUUUCCAGGCUAACCUACUUUUUAUUUAAUGCAAAUUACAGUACCAGUUAACUAUUUCCAAACCAAGUCACAUAGAACGAAAUGUAUUUACAAGGGAAUGGGGAAAGGGAAAAAAAACAUUGAGCAUACUUUUCACAAAAAAGUUUAUAUUUAAAAUGAAAAAAAAAAAUCAGUCACAGAGGCAUUCAAGUAGUAAUAAUGUUAUACAGAUUUUGCUUUUCCUUUAUAUCAAGACAGAUUUGCACAAGUGUUUGCAAUAGUUUGUAUACAACCCACAGUCAAGGAAGUCUACUUUGUCAAGUUAACCCCUUAUGUACUGGUUGUCAUUUUGCUUUUAUUGCAGAGGUGCAAAUGGAGCAACAAACUUGAAUAAAACGUCAUAACCCUUGUGAAAAUAAUCCAAACCCCAGAGAUUACUUCCAAAGCCUCUCAAACACAGACCUUAGUCUGGGGCUCUACUCUGCUUCUAGUUGUCUUAUUUUCAGUGGCUCAGGUUUCUACCAGAAAAGACAGAUUUUACUGUAAAGCAUACUUAGUUUAUUUUUCUAUAUAAGGGAUAUA
This 574-nucleotide long non-coding RNA is filed under the name Bos taurus (domestic cattle). RNAcentral's name for it is "long non-coding RNA NONBTAT000581". The record is from RNAcentral. Lineage: Eukaryota; Metazoa; Chordata; Mammalia; Artiodactyla; Bovidae.